GAAUAUUGGACAAUGGGCGAAAGCCUGAUCCAGCCAUGCCGCGUGUGUGAAGAAGGUCUUCGGCUUGUAAAGCACUUUAAGUUGGGAGGACGGGCAGUACGCGCAUACCUUGCUGUUUUGACGUUACUGACAGAAUAAGCACCGGUCCACCCUGUGCCAGCAGCCGCGGUAAUCCAGAGGGUGCAAGCGUUACUCGGAAUUACUGGGCGUAAAGCGCGCGUAGGUGGUUCGUUAAGUUGGAUGUGAAAUCCCCGGGCUCAACCUGGGAACUGCAUCCAAAACUGGCGAGCUAGAGUAGGGCAGAGGGUGGUGGAAUUUCCUGUGUAGCGGUGAAAUGCGUAGAUAUAGGAAGGAACACCAGUGGCGAAGGCGACCACCUGGGCUCAUACUGACACUGAGGUGCGAAAGCGUGGGGAGCAAACA
RNAcentral lists this ribosomal RNA (423 nucleotides) under uncultured bacterium. Its description in RNAcentral is "partial 16S ribosomal RNA". It matches the Rfam family "Bacterial small subunit ribosomal RNA", at positions 359 to 774 of the family's 1533-position model. The record is from RNAcentral.